RNAcentral lists this ribosomal RNA (465 nucleotides) under uncultured bacterium. RNAcentral's name for it is "partial 16S ribosomal RNA". It matches the Rfam family "Bacterial small subunit ribosomal RNA", at positions 28 to 507 of the family's 1533-position model. The record is from RNAcentral.
GACGAACGCUGGCGGCGUGCUUAACACAUGCAAGUCGAGCGGCAAGGUCCUGCUUUUGUGGGACGCUUGAGUGCCAAAGGGGUGCGUAACACGUGCGCAACCUGACCCUGACUUUGGCCUAACUUCAGGAAGCUGGGGCUAAGACUGGAUAGGAGUGCCUGCUGUAGAGUGGGGGCUGGAAAGGUGCGGGGGUUGGGGGACUAGCGGCGGAUAUGCGUGUUGGUGGGGUGGUGGCUGACCAAGGCUUCACCGGGGAGCCGGCCUGAGAGGGUGACCGGCCACAUGGGGACUGUGAUACGGCCCGGAGUCCUACGGAAGACAGCAGUGGGGAAUAUUGCCCAAUGGAGGGAAGCCUGAUGCAGCAACGCCGCGUGCGGGGUGACGGCCUUCGGGUUUGAAACCACUUUCGCCUGUGACGAUGCGUGUUUGACGGUAAUGGAUAAAGAAGCACCGGCUAACUACGUG